UCCGUCUGGCGUGUCGUCACCAUCCCGCGCCCUGCCGAGGUCGUUCUUCGGCGUCACCUCGUCUCUGGGUGUAGCAUUUCUCUUAUCUCCAUUUCACAAAGACUGCCUAGCAUGCUGUGCAGAUGAAAGAUAUGUGGAGGAACCAGCUGUCUCAGCUGAGCCCAGACACCAGCCGGGAGGAUGCAGCUGCAUGAGUGAGCUGGAGAGACCAACAGCUACCCAGGCAACCAUCAGAAUGCAGGAAAAAAGGAAUGUGAGGAGCCGUCUGGCAAUUGAGCAGUACCCUUCGCCUGGGAGACAUCCCAAGUGCUCCUGUUAGAGCAACAGCAACUCUGAAAUGGAAUAGUAGGAGCAGGUGAUGACUAGCCUACGGAAGAAUGUGUGUCUUCACUUAGGCACAGUAACAUGAACACUUCAUAAUAAAGUUCCAUUAAUGUCAAUAAA
Manis pentadactyla (Chinese pangolin) is the source of this 444-nucleotide long non-coding RNA. RefSeq lists it as uncharacterized. NCBI's taxonomy places the organism in Eukaryota, Metazoa, Chordata, Mammalia, Pholidota, Manidae. The record is from RefSeq and is a predicted model, not a curated record. The transcript is spliced from 3 exons.